This 100-nucleotide small RNA is filed under the name Salmonella enterica. RNAcentral describes it as "partial RtT sRNA". It matches the Rfam family "RtT RNA", at positions 32 to 130 of the family's 130-position model. Rfam says of the family: This family represents a bacterial cis-regulatory element known as RtT RNA. The exact function of RtT is unknown although it is thought that it may be involved in changing the cellular response in relation to amino acid starvation. The record is from RNAcentral. RNAcentral also lists the same sequence under 5 other names. Lineage: Bacteria; Pseudomonadati; Pseudomonadota; Gammaproteobacteria; Enterobacterales; Enterobacteriaceae.
UCGACCAAGGUUCGAUUCGAGCGCAGCGAGAAAGCGUUGCCGCAGGCAACGACCCGAAGGGCGAAGCGCGCAGCGCUGAGUCAUCCUUCCCCCACCACCA